This is a long non-coding RNA of Solanum pennellii, 1149 nucleotides long. RefSeq lists it as uncharacterized. NCBI's taxonomy places the organism in Eukaryota, Viridiplantae, Streptophyta, Magnoliopsida, Solanales, Solanaceae. The transcript is spliced from 2 exons. The record is from RefSeq and is a predicted model, not a curated record.
GAAACCCAAUUCCUUCAACAUUCAAUACACCAAAUAUAGCGUACCAAACAAAUGACCACCCCACUUGAUUCUCCUUCUUCACGCCAGCAAAUUCAGAUAUCCCGGAGAACCAGCAAUCCAAAAGAAAAACCGGUCCAACUACGUCACAGUCUCAUUAAUUUGGAAAAUCUGGAAAAAAGUCGUGUCGUCCACAUUUUCUUGUUUUAGCAGCAACGACCCUCGUAUUGAAAUCUCCUUGCUAGAUCGUCCUUCGCUCAAAAUCAAUGUCUCUCUUCAAAAAUCUGUUGAGAUUCAUCCAAUCCACCUGUUUCCCCCCGAUUUCUAUCUAUAUAUUCAUCUCUCUCAUUCAUAGUUUAAACUUAGAAAAAAUAGGAAGAAAAAUAAGGAACGAUAGACAAAAAAUAAAGUAGAGAAAAAUAGAGUUGAGAGAGAGUUCUACCAUUUAAUAGAAAAUAAGGAGAACAUAGGAGAGAAAAAAGAGUAGUAAAGAGUAGAAAAAGAAAACAGAGAGUUUGAGUCUUUUCUAUUUGAAAUCGAAGUUGUUUUAUUUUUUGUAGUGCAUCGAAAUCGCCUCACAAUGGUGGUAGUUCUUCGUGGCUAAGCUCGUCAUCUUAGUUCACUACCCCAUAAAAGUCAAUGGUGGACUAAUCUAUGUUGCACUUCCGAGUUAAACCAUAAAGGCCCAAUCUUUUCUUUCCAGUCAGACAUCCUAUAUAUUUGGAAGCUAUUACAGGUUCUAUAGCUCAAACAUACUGGUGGAAGUUAGCUCAAAAGCCCAAGAAAUGGAUUGUAUACAUAUUUUAUACAACUCUAUACACUGAUAUACAGGUUUAGUUGAGAAAAUAUGUCACCAAAAACAUAUAUACAGGUUGGAGGCGUCAAAGCGGACUGUAUGCAGCCGCUAUACAGUUUGAUAUACAAACAAAGAGUGAAGAAAUGACCCAUAAACACUUGGUGUAUACACACGAUUUCAAGGGUUAAAAUAGGGCCAGAGCACAUCAACAGCUUUAAAAGCCCAAGUCCAUUACCUUUUCAUUUAUUUGAUUGCAUUUCUUCAUUUAUUUGAUAUUUUUAACUCUAAUUGUUUAUUUGCUUCAUUAUGCUUUCAUUUAAUUAACAAAAAGAUAAACUAUAUUCUUUAUGGUAGUA